UCCGGCUUGUCACCGGCAGUUCCUUCAGAGUGCCCACCCAAUCGUGCUGGCAACUAAAGGCAAGGGUUGCGCUCGUUGCGGGACUUAACCCAACAUGUCACCACACGAGCUGACGACAGCCAUGCAGCACCUGUCUCUCUGUUGUAUUGCUACAAAAACUGUAUUUCUACAGCGGUCAGAGGAUGUCAAACCCAGGUAAGGUUUUGCGCGUUGCUUCGAAUUAAACCACAUGAUCCACCGCUUGUGCGGGCCCCCGUCAAUUCCUUUGAGUUUUAGUCUUGCGACCGUACUUCCCAGGCGGGGUACUUAUUGCGUUAGCUCCGGCUCCACAGGGGUCAAUUCCCAUAAAGCCUAGUACCCAUCGUUUACAGCGUGGACUAC
RNAcentral lists this unclassified non-coding RNA (381 nucleotides) under uncultured Oligoflexales bacterium. RNAcentral describes it as "contains 16S-23S intergenic spacer region". Lineage: Bacteria; Pseudomonadati; Bdellovibrionota; Oligoflexia; Oligoflexales. The record is from RNAcentral.